Long non-coding RNA from Maniola jurtina (meadow brown), 283 nucleotides. RefSeq lists it as uncharacterized. The transcript is spliced from 3 exons. NCBI's taxonomy places the organism in Eukaryota, Metazoa, Arthropoda, Insecta, Lepidoptera, Nymphalidae. The record is from RefSeq and is a predicted model, not a curated record.
UAAAUAUGCAUUUUAUUGUUCUGUUAUAUAUUUCAUUGGCCACAGCAAAUCAAAUAAUUUUUAUUAAUCUAUAUUUUAUUAAAGCUAGAAACAUGUACGUAACGAUUGCCAUAUAAUAUGUACCUAUAUAAAUCACAAUAAAUAACACAAUAUAUAGACACUUGGACACUCUACAGCACGGCUCUAUAGGGACACUUAAAAGGAACAUUGCGUGUAGUCGAGACAGGAUAACUUAAGUUUGGAAACAUUUGACGCGUCAUAAUAAUUAUCUGAUAAUUAUUAA